GACAGAGGGUGCAAACGUUGUUCGGAAUUACUGGGCGUAAAGUGUGCGCAGGCGGCUUCGCAAGUCGAGUGUGAAAUCCCCGAGCUUAACUUGGGAAUUGCGCUCGAAACUACGGAGCUGGAGUGUGGCAGAGGAAGGUGGAAUUCCACGUGUAGCGGUGAAAUGCGUAGAGAUGUGGAGGAACACCGAUGGCGAAGGCAGCCUUCUGGGCCAACACUGACGCUCAUGCACGAAAGCGUGGGGAGCAAACAGG
RNAcentral lists this ribosomal RNA (253 nucleotides) under uncultured bacterium. RNAcentral's name for it is "partial 16S ribosomal RNA". It matches the Rfam family "Bacterial small subunit ribosomal RNA", at positions 524 to 776 of the family's 1533-position model. The record is from RNAcentral.